GGUGAGGUGGCCGAGUUGGUUAUGGCGCCAGGUUAAGGUCUCCUUAACAGGUUUCCUGGUGGGGCAACCCGCGCGAGUUCGAGUCUCGUCCUCAUCA
Molecule: transfer RNA, 97 nt
Filed under: Verticillium dahliae VDG1
Lineage: Eukaryota; Fungi; Ascomycota; Sordariomycetes; Glomerellales; Plectosphaerellaceae
Description: tRNA-Leu
Rfam family: tRNA
About the family: Transfer RNA (tRNA) molecules are approximately 80 nucleotides in length. Their secondary structure includes four short double-helical elements and three loops (D, anti-codon, and T loops).
Source: RNAcentral